UCUCUGGUAGCUCAGUGGUUUAGAGUUGUGUGCUUAUGAGGUUUUUAACCGGCGGUCAUUACCGUACUCACACCGGUCGAGAGUUCAAUCCUCUUCCAGAGAA
Papiliotrema laurentii is the source of this 103-nucleotide non-coding RNA. The record is from the annotation of a GenBank genome assembly. Lineage: Eukaryota; Fungi; Basidiomycota; Tremellomycetes; Tremellales; Rhynchogastremaceae.